RNAcentral lists this ribosomal RNA (253 nucleotides) under uncultured bacterium. Its description in RNAcentral is "partial 16S ribosomal RNA". It matches the Rfam family "Bacterial small subunit ribosomal RNA", at positions 524 to 776 of the family's 1533-position model. The record is from RNAcentral.
UACAGAGGGUGCGAGCGUUAAUCGGAAUUACUGGGCGUAAAGCGCGCGUAGGCGGCUUUGCAAGUCGGGUGUGAAAUCCCCAGGCUUAACCUGGGAACUGCAUUCGAGACUGCAUUGCUAGAGUAUGGGAGAGGGAAGUGGAAUUUCCGGUGUAGCGGUGAAAUGCGCAGAUAUCAGGAGGAACACCGGUGGCGAAGGCGGUUCUCUGGGCCUUACCUGACGCUGAGGAGCGAAAGCAUGGGGAGCAAACAGG